This 485-nucleotide ribosomal RNA is filed under the name uncultured bacterium. RNAcentral describes it as "partial 16S ribosomal RNA". It matches the Rfam family "Bacterial small subunit ribosomal RNA", at positions 899 to 1397 of the family's 1533-position model. The record is from RNAcentral.
ACUCAAAGGAAUUGACGGGGGCCCGCACAAGCGGCGGAGCGUGCGGUUUAAUUCGAAGCAACGCGCAGAACCUUACCAGGGCUUGACAUGUCACUGCAGAGCCGUGAAAGCGGUUGGCCUUCGAGGGUGUGACACAGGUGCUGCAUGGCUGUCGUCAGCUCGUGUCGUGAGAUGUUGGGUUAAGUCCCGCAACGAGCGCAACCCCCGUGGUCAGUUGCCGAUGUUUCUGACCAGACUGCCGGUAGCAAGCCGGAGGAAGGUGGGGAUGACGUCAAGUCAGCAUGGCCCUUACGUCCUGGGCGACACGCACGCUACAAUGGCCGGGACAACGGGUUGCCAAGCCGCAAGGCGGAGCCAAUCCCCCAAACCCGGUCUCAGUUGGAAUCGUGGGCUGCAACCCGCCCACGUGAACGUGGAGUCGCUAGUAACCGCGGGUCAGCACUACCGCGGUGAAUACGUUCCCGGGCCUUGCACACACCGCCCGU